RNAcentral lists this ribosomal RNA (449 nucleotides) under uncultured bacterium. RNAcentral describes it as "partial 16S ribosomal RNA". It matches the Rfam family "Bacterial small subunit ribosomal RNA", at positions 30 to 523 of the family's 1533-position model. The record is from RNAcentral.
AUUGAACGCUGGCGGAAUGCUUUACACAUGCAAGUCGAACGAUGUAGCAAUACAUAGUGGCGCACGGGUGAGUAACGCGUGGGAACGUGCCUUUUAGUUUGGAAUAACACCGGGAAACUGGUGCUAAUGCCCAAUACGCCCUUCGGGGGAAAGAUUUAUCGCUAAAAGAUCGGCCCGCGUCAGAUUAGCUAGUUGGUGGGGUAAUGGCCUACCAAGGCUCCGAUCUGUAGCUGUGCUGAGAGGAAGAUCAGCCACACUGGAACUGAGACACGGUCCAGACUCCUACGGGAGGCAGCAGUGGGGAAUAUUGGACAAUGGGGGAAACCCUGAUCCAGCCAUGCCGCGUGAGUGAUGAAGGCCUUAGGGUUGUAAAGCUCUUUUACCAGGGAAGAUGAUGACGGUACCUGGAGAAUAAGCACCGGCUAACUUCGUGCCAGCAGCCGCCGUAA